UUAUCCCAAAAGCGGAGGAAAAGAAACUAACAAGGAUUCCCCUAGUAACGGCGAGUGAAGCGGGAAGAGCUCAAAUUUGAAAUCUGGUGGCCUCAGGUCAUCCGAGUUGUAAUCUAUAGAAGUGUUUUCCGUGCUGGCUCAUGUACAAGUCCCUUGGAACAGGGCGUCAUAGAGGGUGAGAAUCCCGUCCUUGACAUGAACUACCAGUGCUCUGUGAUACAUUUUCAACGAGUCGAGUUGUUUGGGAAUGCAGCUCAAAAUGGGUGGUAAAUUCCAUCUAAAGCUAAAUAUUGGCGAGAGACCGAUAGCGAACAAGUACCGUGAGGGAAAGAUGAAAAGCACUUUGGAAAGAGAGUUAAACAGUAUGUGAAAUUGUUGAAAGGGAAACGAUUGAAGUCAGUCGUGCUCUUUGGAUUCAGCCGGUUCUGCCGGUGUACUUCCUUUGAGUGGGGUCAACAUCAGUUUUGAUCGCUGGAUAAAGGCUGGAGGAACGUAGUACCCUCGGGUAAACUUAUAGCCUCCUGUCACAUACAGUGGUUGGGACUGAGGAACGCAGCACGCCUUUAUGGCCGGGAUUCGUCCACGUACGUGCUUAGGAUGUUGACAUAAGUGGCUUUAAACGACCCGUCUUGAAACCACGGACCA
Molecule: ribosomal RNA, 645 nt
Filed under: Filobasidium magnum
Lineage: Eukaryota; Fungi; Basidiomycota; Tremellomycetes; Filobasidiales; Filobasidiaceae
Description: partial large subunit ribosomal RNA
Rfam family: Eukaryotic large subunit ribosomal RNA
Source: RNAcentral